Molecule: unclassified non-coding RNA, 213 nt
Filed under: Hevea brasiliensis (rubber tree)
Lineage: Eukaryota; Viridiplantae; Streptophyta; Magnoliopsida; Malpighiales; Euphorbiaceae
Source: RNAcentral
CGGCAAUAACGUCGGCCAUCGGAGGGUCCCAUCUUCUGGUGGGUCCCACAAGAAGCUAAGGAGGCUACCCCACAUCUUCAGCAGGGUCUUGGAGCUCCCCUUCCGCUCGGACGCCGAUGUAUCGGUGGAGGAAAAUCCUGAUUGCUUCCGAUUCGUGGUGGAAACCGAUAAUAUCGGGGACGUCAGAGCUCAUACGAUCGAAAUCCACCCUGG